GAUGAACGCUGGCGGCGUGCCUAAUACAUGCAAGUCGAACGAAACUUCUUUAUCACCGAGUGCUUGCACUCACCGAUAAAGAGUUGAGUGGCGAACGGGUGAGUAACACGUGGGCAACCUGCCCAAAAGAGGGGGAUAACACUUGGAAACAGGUGCUAAUACCGCAUAACCAUAGUUACCGCAUGGUAACUAUGUAAAAGGUGGCUAUACUACCGCUUUUGGAUGGGCCCGCGGCGCAUUAGCUAGUUGGUAGGGUAAAGGCUUACCAAGGCAAUGAUGCGGUGGCCAAGUGAAGAGGUGAACGGCCAAAUUGGGACCGAGACACGGCCCCAACUCCGACGGGAAGCCGCCGUAAGGAAACUUCCCCAAUGGGCGAAAGCCUGAUGGAGGAAACCCGCGGUGGGUGAGAAGGUCCUCCGAUUCGAAAACCCUGUUGUUAGAGAAGAAAGUGCGUGAGAGUAACUGUUCACGUUUCGACGGUAUCUAACCAGAAAGCCACGGCUAACUACGUG
RNAcentral lists this ribosomal RNA (512 nucleotides) under uncultured bacterium. RNAcentral's name for it is "partial 16S ribosomal RNA". It matches the Rfam family "Bacterial small subunit ribosomal RNA", at positions 28 to 507 of the family's 1533-position model. The record is from RNAcentral.